This 1959-nucleotide ribosomal RNA is filed under the name human gut metagenome. Its description in RNAcentral is "bacterial LSU rRNA". It matches the Rfam family "Bacterial large subunit ribosomal RNA", at positions 3 to 1979 of the family's 2925-position model. The record is from RNAcentral.
UCAAGCUACUAAGGGCAUACGGCGGAUGCCUAGGCGCCAUCAGCCGAUGAAGGACGCGGUAAGCUGCGAAAAGCUACGGGGAACUGCAAGCAAGUAUUGAUCCGUAGAUGUCCGAAUGGGGAAACCCACCUGCCGUCAUGGGCAGGUAUCCGAAAGGAAGGGAACCCGGGGAACUGAAACAUCUAAGUACCCGGAGGAAGAGAAAUCAAACGAGAUGCCCACAGUAGCGGCGAGCGAAGAGGGCAGAGGGCAAACCGGGGAGCUGCGGCUCUCCGGGGUUGAGGACUGCAUUUAGUCUUAAUGGUUUAUCCGAACUACCUGGAAAGGUAGGCAACACAGUGUAAAAGCCACGUAGGUUAAAGACCAGAGAGAUGAGCAGUAUCCAGAGUACCACGAGGCACGAGGAAUCUUGUGGGAAGCCGGGGGGACCACCCUCCAACCCUAAACACUGAAUGGCGACCGAUAGCGCAUAGUACCGUGAGGGAAAGGUGAAAAGAACCCCGGGAGGGGAGUGAAAGAGAACCUGAAACCGUAUGUCUACAAGCAGUCGGAGCGAAAGCGACGGCGUGCCUAUUGAAGAAUGAACCAACGAGUUACGUGCACUAGCGAGGUUAAGUGGAAGACACGGAGCCGAAGCGAAAGCGAGUCUUAAGAGGGCGGAUAGUUAGUGUACGUAGACCCGAAACCGCAGUGAUCUACCCAUGUCCAGGUUGAAGCGCAGGUAAAAUUGCGUGGAGGACCGAACCUGUGAGCGUUGAAAAGCUUUAGGAUGAGAUGUGGGUAGAGGUGAAAUUCCAAUCGAACGCGGAGAUAGCUGGUUCUCCCCGAAAUAGCUUUAGGGCUAGCCUCAAGUAGUAAGUAUAGGCGGUAGAGCACUGAUCGGGCUAGGGGCCAUAAAGGUUACCGAACCCUGUCAAACUCCGAAUGGUUAUACUGUAGAGCUUGGGAGUCAGACUACGAGUGAUAAGAUCCGUGGUCAAAAGGGAAACAGCCCAGACCACCAGCUAAGGUCCCCAAUGUCGUACUAAGUGGAAAAGGAUGUGGGGUCUCUAAAACAACCAGGAUGUUGGCUUAGAAGCAGCCACCAUUUAAAGAGUGCGUAAUAGCUCACUGGUCGAGAGACCCUGCGCCGAAGAUUACCGGGGCUAAAGUACGAAACCGAAGCUGUGGCUACGACGUAAGUCGUGGGGUAGGGGAGCGUUCUGUGAGGGCUGAAGUCGUUCUGCAAGGAACGGUGGACUUCACAGAAGUGAGAAUGUUGGUAUGAGUAGCGAAAAGAAUGGUGAGAAUCCAUUCCACCGAAAGCAUAAGGAUUCCUGGGCAACGAUCGUCGUCCCAGGGUAAGUCGGGACCUAAUCCGAGGCAUGGAGCGUAGGAGAUGGACAACUGGCAGAUAUUCCAGUACCGGUAAUGAUUGUUUGAGCGAUGGAGUGACACAGGAGGGCAGGCAGGCAGGAGAUUGGUUGUUCCUGUACAAGCGUGUAGGAUGGGACGUAGGCAAAUCCGCGUCCUGUGAGUCUGAGGCGUGAUGUGGAGGUUCCGGAAACGGAACUGAAGCUGCUGACCCCACACUGUCGAGAAAAGCUUCUAGUUAGAGAAUUACCGCCCGUACCGUAAACCGACACAGGUAUGCGGGGAGAGAAUCCUAAGGUGCGCGGGAGAACCCUCGUUAAGGAACUCGGCAAAAUGUACCCGUAACUUCGGGAUAAGGGUAGCCGCUGUUGUGAAGUCUGAACAGACGGAGCAUGAGGCGGUCGCAGAGAAGAGGCCCAAGCGACUGUUUACCACAAACACAGGUGCCUGCUAAAGAGAAAUCUGACGUAUAGGUGCUGACACCUGCCCAGUGCCGGAAGGUUAAGGAAGGAUGUCCGGAGCAAUCCAAAGCAUUCGACCGAAGCCCCGGUGAACGGCGGCCGUAACUAUAACGGUCCUAAGGUAGCGAAAUUCCUUGUCGGGUAA